GCAGUUUCCUGCAGUUGCGAAUGCUCUCAGACAGCAUUCACCAGCCAAGCAUGCCAGCUUUGGGGCUGAUGGGAAAGGCAGCCUGAAACAUGCAAGUUGGCGAAGGCUGCGCUUGGCCACUUUCAGACUGUCACGGUUUCACAGGUGAGAUUCAGUUGCAUACCAGCACAUUCAGAUCGGGCAGUUAAAGUGGUGUUGGCACUCAGGGGAAAUGAACCCACUUCAAAAUCGUGCUGCUGUAUUUUUGCUUUGUUGUGCAGGUGGGCGGAUUUUAUUGUUUUUUAUAUGCUGCCUCUCUCUCUCUGUGCGAUAUUUGUUAUUUUGUAAGCUGCUCAGCAAUUGCCUUAAUAUUAAUCAGUAUAUAAAGAUACAAAGUAAGGAAAGAAAAACCAGACGUCUUGCAAGAAGGAAAGUGAGGGGGGAAACGGAUUGGGAAGUGUGGGCUGACAAUUGCUUGGCACAGCACCUGCAAAGCCCUAUAUGGCCUAGGACCCUCGUACCUACGGGACCGCCUCUCCUGGUAUGUCCCACAGAGAAACUUACGGUCUUCAAAUAAAAACAUCCUGAAGGUCCCAGGCCACAGAGACGUUAGGCUGGCCUCAACUAGAGCCAGGGCUUUUUCGGCUGUGGCUCCAAUCUGGUGGAACGCUCUGUCACAAGAGACUAGGGCCCUGCGGGAUUUGACAUCUUUCCGCAGGGCCUGCAAGACAGAGCUGUUCCACCAGGCCUUGGCAAUCUUCACAGAACUUUAGCCUAAUGGUUGCCAUCAAUUUGAGUUGAAUUAAUUUUAUAAUGAAAUGAUUUUAGAAUGUUGUACUAUUUUAUUGUUGUUAGCCACCCUGAGCCCGGCUUCGGCUGGGGAGGGCAGGAUAUAAAUAAAAUUUAUAAUAAUAAUAAUAAUAAUAAUAAUAAUAAUAAUAAUAAUAAUUUUCCUCCCCACCAACAAGUCAGAACAAACAUCCAAUAAACAGCCACCUCUAUCACCUCCUUGCAAACUUCUGCAAACAAAUCAGCUGGAAUAUUCAGUAAACAGUUCAUCCUAGAAGCGACCCUGGCAUCUUACAGAGUGGUGGGUAGUUUUUUUUACACUGACUCCAAGGCCUGAAGGGAUGAGAAGGCAGCCCUCUCUGUGUAAGAGCUUCCCCCAUGAUUAACCUGCCACACAAUCCAUUUAAAGAAGAAAACAGACGUAGGGUAUGAGAAGGAAUGGUAAGCAGAGCUGACACAAGUCGCUUUGCUGCCCAAAGUGGAGGUCUCUCAGCUCAGCGGUGGAAACUGCAUCUUGUGUGCUGAAGGCCCCAGGCUCUUAGUGAGAAGCUUCCUGGGCAAAGCCUUGCCACCAAUUAAUACUCAAUUAUCUCAGUGGGUCUUGGCAAGAAGGCACAGCCACUGAUUAAUGGGUGCUUUCAAGUUCACCCUUCAAAUAGAUUUGGCCAGUCGGCUCAGCGGAGUUCCUUGGAAACCUACGGAGAGGCAGAAGUUUCGAAGCAGAGAAAGACUGAAGGAAGCAGAUGAGUCUGAUAGCAGUGGAAGUCCAUGGCAAGCACUCUGCAGGAUGCAUAAACCCUCCCUGUAAGUCUGUGAUUCAUCCUGGUAGAGACGAGGGCAAGAAGUCCUUUGACUAGGACCACCUGGUCCCAGGUAUUAUGGGCCUAUGAGUUAAGCCAUUGGUUUCAGGCAGAGGUCUCUCUGAACCUGGGACCUUCAGAUGCAAAGAAGAUGCUCUCCACUGAGGUACGGCUGUUUUCUGAGGAUUCCUGGAGGCUAGAUAAAACUUGUUAAAGGAAUGGAGUUGACAAUCUUCAUUUGAGGUCCUCUGAGGCCUCUCUAGCAUUCAUCCUGCUCCACAUCCGUCAUUUGGCAAGCAAUUUCCUUCUCAAACCAGCUAGAGAGGUGGGUAUUCCUUGCUUGCUUGCUUGCUAGGUGGUUGCAGGGCUUGCUAAGAAGGGUUACCUGAUAAUAUAAAGGUAAGAGCGCCACUAAGCAUGAGAAGGGUGCCACUUCUUCCUCCACAACCACAAGCAGUCUCCAAUUUUUAUGAGUUGUUGUGUACAGUCAUACCUCGGGAUAAAUAUGCUUCAGGUUGAGCGCGUUUGGGUUGCGCUCCGUGGCGACCCGGAAGUAACAGAGCAUGUUACUUCCGGGUUUCACCGCUCGUGCAUACACAGACGGUCAAAAUGACGUCACGCGCAUGCGCGGAAGCAGCGAAACGUGACCCGUGCACGCACAGACGCGUCUUACGUUAUGUUCAGAAUGUGAAUGGGGCUCCGGAACGGAUCCUGUUCGCAUCCUGAGGUACCACUGUAUUAAAGGUAAAGGGACCCCUGACCAUUAGGUCCAGUCGUGACCGACUCUGGGGUUGCGGCGCUCAUCUUGCUUUAUUGGCUGAGGGAGCCGGCGUACAGCUUCCGGGUCAUGUGGCCAGCAGGACUAAGCUGCUUCUGGCGAACCAGAGCAGCACAUGGAAACACCGUUUACCUUCCUGCCGGAGCGGUACCUAUUAAUCUAUUUGCACUUUGACGUGCUUUCGAACUGCUAGGUUGGCAGGAGCAGGGACCGAGCAACGGGAGCUCACCCCGUCGCAGGGAUUCGAACCGCCAACCUUCUGGGCCCAAGUCCUAGGCUUUGUGGUUUAACCCACAGCGUGGUGUGUAUUAGGUGUGUGUGCAGUGUCAGACCACACCUGGAAUACCAUGUCCAAUUUUGGGCACCACAGUUUAAGAAGGAUGUUGACAAGCUGGAAGGUGUACAGAGGAGGGUGACCAAGAUGAUCAAGGGUCUGGAUGAUCAAGUCUUAUGAGGAACGGUUGAAGAAGCUGGGCAUAUUUAGCCUGGAUAUUAUAGCCCUCUUCAAAUAUCUUAAGGACUGUCACAUGGAGGAUGGAGCAAGCUUGUUUUCUCCUUCUCUGGAGGGUGGGACUCAAACCAAUGGCUUCAAGUUACAAGAAAGAAGAUUCCGACUACGAUAUACAAUAAAUCUUUAUUGUCUUGACUAAACAUAUGAAAAAACUUUCUGAUGGCAAGAACUGUUUGAAAAAACUUUCUGAUGGCAAGAACUGUGGAACGGUCUCCCUCGGGAGGUUGUGGACUCUCAUUCCUUGGAGGUUUUUAAGCAGAGGUUGGAUAGUUAUCUGUCAUGGGUGCUUUAGAUGAGAUUCCUGAAAUGCAGGGGUUGGACUAGAUGACCCUCAGAGUCCCUUCCAACUCUAUGAUUCUAUAAUAAUCCUUAGAAAAUAUAUGGUGCCAUUUGCAAAGUGAUUUAUGUACAAUAUCUCCGCAAUCCAUGCAACAGCUCUGUGAGGUAGGUCCCCACAUGAAAGGGGUGGGACAGCAAUGGAGAGAUAAUGGUUUGUCUUUGGUGAUGGGUUCAGGGCUUAAUCUGCAGCGAGGCUAAGCCACUGCCUAUGUUUUCCACAUCUUGGCUUAAUCUUGGAGCAUGUGAAGUAGGAAUAGAUCUACUGUUUUCCGGAAGCACCUUCCCAUGGCUGUUUUGCAGAGAAGCAGUGGCUACGCCAGCCUUCCCCAACCUGGUGCCCUCCAGAUGCUUUGGACUACAACUCCCAUCAUCACUGCUUGCAUGCAAUCUGACAGCUGCAGCCUCUAGCCACCCAACAUCUCCUGCAAUGCUGCGAGGGAUUCUUGUGGAAGGGGGAGAGUGCGUUGCAUUUCCUUUGGCCUCUGGACCUGCAGCCGUCAUUGAACUGUGGCAGCACCGAGAUGGUUUUGAAUAAGGACCCUCAUUUUCUAUUCAUGACUUCCCAAUGCAUCUGCUGAAAUAUUUAAACCACCAAUAACACAGUAACCCCAUACUAGGAAGCUGACUCACCCUCAUCAGUAAAAGGCCCAGAUGAGAAACAAUGAAGUUGCAAGUUAUCAGGGAAGGGCUGGGAGCUUUAGCAGACCGCCUGGGAGUGUGGCGCAAGGCAUUAAUGUGGAAGCUUCCGAAUGCUCCGCAGGAAGCCAGUCAACUGCACUGGCCCAAGGUCACCCCGUGAGCUUCAUGGCUGAGUGGGGAUCUGAACCCUGGUCUCCCAGGUCCUAAAUGUUGAGAGAUUAUAGUAAAGGUAAAGGGACACCUGACCAUUAGGUCCAGUCAUGACCGACUCUGGGGUUGCGGCGCUCAUCUUGCUUUACUGGCCGAGGGAGCCGGCAUACAGCUUCCGGGUCAUGUGGCUAGCAUGACUAAGCCGCUUCUGGUGAACCAGAGCAGCGCAUGGAAACGCCGUUUACCUUCCCGCCGGAGCGGUACCUAUUUAUCUACUUGCACUUUGACGUGCUUUCGAACUGCUAGGUUGGCAGGAGCAGGGACUGAACAACGGGAGCUCACCCCGUCGCGGGGAUUCAAACCGCCGACCUUCUGAUCGGCAAGUCCUAGGCUCUGUGGUUUAAUCCACAGCGCCACCCGCGUCCCAAUUGAGAGAUUAUAAGUUUACGCAAACUCAAGUGUCUGGUCCCCACUGCACUGCCAGUUCUGCUGGAAUCCUGCUUGUCUGACUAGUACGACACUCUAACCACUGCUCCACUACGGACUCUCUCUUAACAUUUCGUGAUUGGUCCUCCCCAAGGAACUUCUGCUGGCACUUUCCCGGCCUCGUUCAGAAGAGUGGUCCCUUCCUGCUAGAUCUCCUUGAUUGUGUCAUUGACAGAGAUGAGAGGAACUUUCAAGUGGGGCACAGUCAGUCUGAGGCCGGCUGUGAGUCAUCCCAUCUUUUUCCAGGGGCUUCACUGGUUCAUUGCUUCCUCCCUCAGAGGGGAGAGGUGGUCAGCUCUGGACCAUAUUUUCAACUGCGUUGCUGAACUCUGAGGACGCACUUAUUCUGUUUUUUGCAAUCCUGAAUCUGCUGACAGGCCUAAUGAAGCCAGGACAUGGUGUCCUGAGAAAACAAUUUUACCAGGCCCUCUCUGACCCUUUUAUCUCAGGCAGUCAAAAUAGCUAUGCAACAGAAUUGUGGGAUGAUGGGGAAAGAGAGGUUAUAGCACUGGAUGCUUUUAUUUCAUAGGGACUUAGACUCAAGGACUACAACAUCCUCCUCCCAGAGCUUUAGGGGUCCAACUCACCCUUACAAAACGGCCGUCUCCUAUGAUUUCCAAACUUCCCUUCAAGGCGAUAUAUCCCAGGGAGGUUUGCACACAUAUAUAGUUAAAGCAUCAAAUAUACACAAUAAAACCAUCAACGUUUUAAGAUUUAAAACCAAAUCAAAGUUUUCCCAUUCAAAGCAAUCCAGACAUAUAAUAAUAAUAAUAAUAAUAAUAAUAAUAAUAAUAAUUUAUUUAUACCCCGCCCAUCUGGCUGGGUUUCUCCAGCCACUCUGGGCGGCUUCCAACUGAAUAUUAAAAUACAGUACUCCAUCAAACAUUAAAAGCUUCCCUAAACAGGGCUGCCUUCAGAUGUCUUCUAAAAGUCUGAUAGUUGUUUUUCUCUUUGACAUCUGGUGGGAGGGCGUUCCACAGGGCAGGGGCCACCACCGAGAAGGCCCUGUGCCUGCUUCCCUGUAACUUGGCUUCUCGCAGCGAGGAAACCACCAGAAGGCCCUCGGCGCUGGACCUCAGCGUCCGGGCAGAACGACGGGGGUGGAGACGCUCCUUCAGGUCUACUGGGCCGAGGUCAUUUAGGGCUCUAAAGGUCAACACCUUGAAUUGUGCUCAGAGACUUGCUGGGAGACCAUGUUAGAUGCCCAUGAGCUCUAGUGUUACAAGAGAGGGAGAAAAACUGUUCCAUGACCGACUGAUGUAGAUCACAACCUCUCUGAGGGCGUAGUAAACAGCUACAAGGAGUAGCAUUGUGUCUCUUGUACUAGCUGCCCAAAUGCUCCAGGAUAGCUUACAAGAAGGGAAUGAAGGCAACACACGUACACAAACAUGGCUUGCCCCUCUGCACGACCCUUCCCUGCUCUCCCAGAAAGUGCUCUUUGGAACAUGUUUUGUCAUUUCUUUUUUUCCGAGGGGGUGUGGGGAGAACCCUACGAACAGUGCCACUCAGAACCACCAUAUUCCGUGGGAAUUUUCCCUUUCACUUCCGCCAAAUAUGGAUUGUAACACUAGCUAUCAAAGAAUCUCCACUUCCAAUUUGAAUUGGAAAAGUUUGAAAAUAUGGACUUGUCGUUUAGUCGUGUCUGACUCUUUGUGACCCCAUGGACCAGAGCACCAGAAAAUAUGGACAAUGCCUGGUAAAAACUGGGAAGCCAGAGGGGGGAGAGGCAGACUGAUUGCCCCCCCCCCCGAAUUGCUUCCUGCAGCUCCUCGCUCAUCUUUAAUAGCCAGCAGAAGCAGAAUGCACUAGGCAAAGGACCAUGCACAUCUGCAUAAUUUAUUCAAACUGCAGAAUUAGCAUCCCUUUGUGCGGAAUUAGGAGGAGGGCUUGGUGCAGAGAACACUCAGCUUCGUUUGCAAUACUUUGCACGAGGGCUUAAUGAGGAAGGGUACUUUUGGACUCAAUUUUUCUAAGCCCAGUGCUUCAUUCACUGGACUGACUACACAGUCUCACGGGUGAAAGGUUGCUUUCGAGCUGGUCCAGAAAUCAGGCUCUCACCCCCAGCAAACAAUGAAGGAUGUUUUGGAUCAGGUUGCUGAGUGCUGAACUUCUGCUCAACGAAAAUGGGGAAAGAGAUCUCAGCGAAUUCUUGGUGUGCCUAUUCCUUGGGCAACCUAAGCAUUGGGAAUUGCAGGGCACAGCACUCAUUUGCAGCACCGUCUCACUGGCGCAUCCUGUUGCUUGUCAGUGUGGCAUCUCUAGCUAACUAGAACAAAUAGCCUUAUGUGAUUAUGACCCAUAAUCUUCCAAUUUAGAGGUAAUCUUUCAGAAGAGAUUAUAUCCAAACAAAACUGUAUUGUUACUGCUUUGGGAGUACCUGUUGCCUUGCGCUAUUUGACGGGCAAUGGGGACAUAUCCUGGCUGGCUGUCAUCCUGUGUUAAGGAUAAUGGAUAGGUAUUUUCAGGAACAAGGGUAGCCUAAGCCUGGCACUGAAUCCACUGUGGUGGAAUUAGAAAAUGGCAGAAGGAGUCUUGCAAAGUCCAGAUUUUUUUUAAAGUUCUUAUUGCUGAGAGGGAAUUAAGGAGAAUUGGGAUCCUCAAGACUAAGCUUUUGGUUUUCUUUCUAGGAUUUGUAGUGCCUUUCAGGCACACAGCCUCCCAAAGUGGUUUACAAAAAGAUUUUAAAAUGACAUUCAAGUUUCUAGUCCUUAUGGCUAUGAAGAUGAGCUUGAAAGUGAGUGGCCAAUACUUUCUUUUCUCAGAGAUCAAAGAGGUAGGAGGAGGAGACUUCUAGUGGCUGGGAUGCACGUGCAGCUUCAGGGUCACACAGAGCUCUCUGCCCCUUGCCAAGGCCAAAUAAAUUAUGCAAAAUAGAAGAAUAAGCUAUGCAAAUUUAAAAAACAAAAACCCCACACAUUCAGGCUGCAGAAUUUCCUUGCUCCCUUCCUUUCCUUGCACUUCAGAAUGUUGUUUGAUGCACACAGCUCUGCCUAUAAUUCAGAUGGCGUUUGCCCCAGGAUCAUAACUUCAGGACUACUGCAGCCUCUUUAACGUAGAAGAAUGAUGGCUUUUGGCAAAGCUAGUCUUUGUCUCCCUUUUCCAUUUCCUCCAGAGGAAGGAAUGAUAAGUUUUUCAGCUGAUUCUUAGAGACACUCAGGAUGAGUGAUAAAAGCUUUCUUCAGGUUGGUGGUUAAGGACCUGCCUUUGAGAAUCCUUGUGUGCUGCUCCUUCUCUUCCUUAUAGAUGAAGACAACUUCAUUUAGCAGGAGAGGCCUGUGCCUUUCCAUCGAGAGGAUGGCUUGUUGAAACAGAAGGGCUCCUUGACCUUUUGGCUUGGCCCAGAUCAGACGUGAACGUGGCAGUGGGCAGUUUUAUGAUUCAUGCCCCGUGGAUCUUUUGUGACUGCACGAUACCACUACACGUGAACAGUCUUUGUUUUGGGAAACGGAACUCCUCUCCAGGCUCUCGGCGAUUAUUCUGAACAUAGUAAGUUCCUAGACCUCAUGGAGCCUUAUGGGAAAAGGCACAGUGACGGUCUGAGAUUAUACAAAAAGAAAAAUAAAUGUUCUCCUUUUCUUUCUCUUUUCCUCUUUUUGGUUUGGGUUUUUAUUGAGAUUCUUUUAUCUUUAAUGUCCUAAAAAGAUAUUGGAUAUUAACUUUUGUAUAUCUUUUCAAACUUUAUUAAAAUAAAAUAAAGGGAAAUGUGCAGAGGGAAAUGUUUGACCCCUUUGCCCUAGGUACUAGUAAAUGCGUAUCCCUUCAAACGAAACUUUAGUCCUUUGUUCCUUACAAUCCUGUUUGAGCCUCACCUUCUUCCCAGAAUUGAUCUCUCCUUGUCCUUCCCAUCUGUGUUUUGCUUCUUGCUCACUUGUCCUCUCAAAUUAAGGACCCAGCAUUGCAGGUGUUCGACUAGAUUACCCUUUGUGUCCCUUUCAACCCUACAAUCCUAUGUUUCUAAAAGCCAACUAGGCAGUGGUGUCCAUCAUAUUGCCUCUUUGCCUUGGGCAUCCCACAAACAGAGCCCAAAGCUUUUCAGGUUGAAAUAUCCACUCUAUGAACUGGAAAAUCUGCACCCUACUCUUCUAUGGGUGCACACCAGGUGAACUACUUGCUCAGAAAGGAAUGGAAAUGAUUCUGUACAGUACGAUCACAUCUUACGCAUGUUUAGCUUGCGAAAUUUCAACCAUACACAGUUGAAGGCAGGCUGGUUGAAAUUGUGCAAGUUGAACCCAAGCAAGGUGGGUUACCCAGCCUCUGGGAUGCUCAGGUGAGAUCUUGCAGGAACCCAGAUAGCCAUGCAAGAUCUCACAUGAGCACCGCAGAACCGAGUAUAUGCCAUUUUAUUGGGUCAUGAUGAAAGGCUGUUCCCUGAAAUUAAGAGAGGAUACAGGGUGGACUCUUGGUUCAUCUAAAAUGAGGAUGCUUCCCCCAGGUAUUCAAGGGGGAUGUUGAGCUUCAUCGGGUCCUCUGAUUUAUUUGUCUUAUGAAAUCUACAGACCAUUCUGUAUACUAGGUAAAGGUAAAGGGACCCCUGAUUAUUAGGUCCAGUCGUGGCCGACUCUGGGGUUGCGGCGCUCAUCUUGCUUUAUUGGCCGAGAGAGCCGGCGUACAGCUUCCAGGUCAAGUGGCCAGCAGGACUAAGCCGCUUCUGGCGAACCAGAGCAGUGCACGGAAACGCCGUUUACCUUCCCGCCGGAGUGGUACCUAUUUAUCUACUUGCACUUUGCCGUGCUUUCGAACUGCUAGGUUGGCAGGAGCUGGGACCGAGCAACGGGAGCUCACCCCAUCGUCACGGGGAUUCGAACCACCGACCUUCUGAUCGGCAAGUCCUAGGCUCUGUGGUUUAGCCCACAGCACCGAGCCGUUCACAAAAAAACGAAGCACAAGGCAGAAAUUAUAUGCCAAAGUAAAUAGAGUUAAAAUGACAGGUAAACACUAUGAAAUGGUCAACAGACAACAAUUAAAACGUUCUUUCUAGAAGAGGGUUUUGUUUUAUUUUUAAGUCUUAAGCAUAUAUCUGAAAUAAUGGAUUGUCAGAGCAUGCCUUGUACUAUAGAUAAUAAUGAAUUGUCCAUUAAAGGGACCAAAAUACUGAAAGCCCGAGUUUCUCAUGCCAUGUCACCACUGCUUGGAAAGUCUCCCAUUUUGAAGGGUUCAGGAUUUCAAGCAGCCUUUGCCAAGCAGUCAGCUGGGGAGAGACUGAUGGCUGAGACUUCCUUUUUUCGGACCAAAAUUAUUUCCAAUUACCUCCGCUGCUGAUGACAGAGGACUGGACGGAACCUUCUUCAAAUGCACCUGCUUCUCCCUCCCCCUUCCCCUCCGGUCCCCACUUGACCCUCGGAAAUCUGUGGGUGACGUGGAACGGUAUGAUUUUAAUCAGGAGAAGCAGGGCUGGAAUGGCAGGGGAAGGGGAUAAUAAUGACUGCUCCGUAGCAGCUUUAUGCAGGGGGGGGGGGAAGGCUCACGAGGCACUUCUGGAAUGCUAAAUUGCCUCUGACAAAUUGCAUGGCAGUCAACAGCUGCUAAAAAGGGAGAUGAAGGGGGACGAAUGGCUCAAGGGGAUCCAAGGCGGGAGGGAGAGAGCCAGGCCUGGUUACGCAGAGCACGAUCUGAUGGCUCCCUGGUGGUGCAGGGAAGCCAAUUGCCAAAUCAUUCAGGGGGCUGAAGGGUGAAUCUCGGCAGGAUUAGGGUCAGAGCUGGGGCUGUCCCCGUAUCUCCUCCGGCGACAUUAUCGCAGGACUGAGUAGCAACAGUGAGGCGAUCGAGGGUUCCUAUUCCAAAUGAGACACCUCCAUUCUCACACAGGACUUCACUUGACAAUAAUAAUAAUAAUAAUAAUAAUAAUAAUAAUAAUAAUAAUAAUAUAUACCCCGCCCCAUCCGGUUGGGUUUCCCCAGACACUCUGGGCUGCUUCCAACUGAAUAUUAAAAACACAAUACAGCAUCAAACAUUAAAAGCUUCCCUAAACAGGGCUGCCUUCAGAUGUCUUCUAAAAGUCAGAUAGCAGCUUAUUUCCUUGACAUCUGAUGGGAGGGCAUUCCACAGGGCGGGCGCCACCACCAAGAAGGCCCUCUGCCUGGUUCCCUGUAACCUCACUUCUCGUAGUGAGGGAACCACCAGAAUAUGGUUACCAGAUCUUUUUCAAUGAAUCUGGGGAGUAGAAACAGCGUGUUAGUAGUGGGGAUUGUGAGGCAAAAGACCCUGGGCCCAAGCAUACAUGCAUAUCGUAUAAACGUGCAAAGCCCUUCUUUCGCACCCUGUGAAACAUAAAUGCACAGAGUUUUUAAAAAACUGGGCAACAGCGCACCGCCCACCCGCAACUCCUGAGCCUCCCCCAAUCAGUCAAAACAAAGGGGGCAGGGGGCAGGAGAUCUGUACUGCUGGACGUCCCUGGUUCCCCUUUGGCAGCAGCAGCCUCAGCAGCCCGGAGCCAGCCUGGUAGCGCAGUUGGCUCUGACUGGCUUCAGGAGCAAGACACAUCAUAUGCGGACUUCCGGAAAGGAAAAAUGGUGGAUGCCAUGGCAGCGAGCUGAUCCUGAAGCCAGCCAGAGCCAAUUGUACUACCAGGCUGGCUCAAGGCUGCUGAGGCUGCCACUGUCACGUUUCCCGGGGACAGAUUUGCAAAUCUGGGGACAUUACGGGAACGGAAUUUGUCCGGGGACAGAUUUGCAAAUCCGGGGACUGUCCCCAGAAAUCGGAGACGUCUGGUAACCCUACACCAGAAGGCCCUCGGUACUGGACCUGGGGUGGAGAUGCUCCUUCAGGUAUACUGGGCCAAGGCCGUUUAGGGCUUUCAAGGUCAGCACCAACACUUUGAAUUGUGCCUGGAAACGUACUGGGAGCCAGUGUAGGUCUUUCAGGACCAGUGUUACAUGGUCUCAGUGGCCACUCCUACAAUGUGCAGACGGGAACACUGAAGAAGCUGCCGUAUGAUUAGUCAGACCAUUGUUCCAUCUUGCUCAGUACUGCCUACACUGACUGGAAGCAGUGGCUCUCCAGGAUUUCAGGCAGGAAUCUCUCUAAACCCUACUUGGAGAUGCCAGCGGCGAUUAAACCUGAGACCUUCUGGUUGCAAGGUAGAUGCUCUCAUCAGUGAGCUAUGCCCACUCCCGACGUGGGCAUGGGGAUAUGAACAGGACACCAGGCACCGCAGCAGAGAUUCCACACCACCCUUCCCUGUGCUCUUUAUGCAUUGACUGAAGCAUAAAGGGCUUUUGCCUCUGGAAGCUCAUGCCACCGGUUUGGGGCAGCCGUCUGCAUGGCUAACCAUCUGCAAAUACCGUCCCCUUGAUGCUGGUUUCCCGGGUUCCGCGAAACGACUUCUCGGCAGCCCAGGGGAAAAGUACACCAGCCCUUUGCUGCGAACUGCAGCUAGCAAAGUGUGUGUGUGUGUGUGUGUGUGUGUGUGAGAGAGAGAGAGAGAGAGAGGAGGGCGCUUCCAGCAGUGAUAAAAUGCCAGCGCCAAGCCAGUCCUUGAAACAUCAGCAGAACAGCCAGAUUUACCAUUGGCAGGCUGUCAAUGAGGGAUGAAUGGAAACAAGAAGCAAUUUGUCACCGUCAGGCCUCUCCAAAAAUGCCGGCAGGAAGGGAAGAAGCUGGGAGUGUGAGCCUGAGGGCCAGGGGAACAGCCCUAAUGCAUCACAGGCUAACUAGCCCAGUAUAUUACGGUCCCGGACAAAGGAAGUGUGUAAUAGCCUCCUUGGCCAUUAAUACGGCACUUGUGAGCGCCUGUCGAUCAUGAUCUAAUUGUGUUUUCUGUUAAAAAUGCAUGAGGGCCUAAGCUCCAGUAGCCACAGAAGGGCUGAUGGGACUGAGCAGGGCAGCAGCUGGGAGGCUGGAGCUUAAACAGCCCCUCCUGUUAGUUAAUGUUCAAAUUAGCACCCGUCCUGUCUAAGGAGUCAUAGAGACCCCUUUGAGGUGCGUGAGCCCCACAGAACGGCAAGAAGAUCAUCACACGAGGGAGUGACAUGAAGGCUCUAUAGAUCGCGUGCCUCUUGCAAAUCCCAAGUGAGCGUGCAACAAAGGCUUCACGCCACCCCCUUGUAUGGCGACGAGCUCAUGAUGUGAAAAAUUAGCCUUUUAUCGCACACCCGAGACAACCGGUUUUGCCUCCGCCACUUCCAAGGCUGCAGAGAGGAGACGUGAGUCACCGUCCAUUCCCCUGCCCUUCUGUCACCCGUGCCUCCUGUCCCAGCCAAUUUUUAAAGAGAAAGGGAGAAAGAUGGCAGGCCAAGGAGCCAUCGAGUCUACGCUGUCUCUGGUGGAGGCCAGCCAGCUGCCCCCAGGAAACUCUUAAGCAGCAGCGAAAUGGAUAGAGCUGCUGUUGGCUUGGCCAUCAGUGCAACUCGGGGGCAAUCAAAGAUGUGCUACCCAUUCCGCUUCUUGCUAUUGCAGCAAAGAGCCAUUGCAAAGACCUCCAUGCGCCUGUUUUAGCAAGGCUUUCUUAAAAGCCCUCUGAGCUAAUGGUGACCAUGUGAGAGAAGCUCUGCUGGGUCAGACCAAAAGACUUUCUAGUGCAUCACCCGGUGGCCCACAGCAGCUCCCAAGAUGCCUCUGGGAAGCUCAGAAGCAGGCCAUGAGGGCAACUGUCCUUUCCUGCCUCUGUUUCCUGGAGACGGUAUAGGACCAUUGUGACUUGAAGCCACUGAUAGACUUCUCCUCCAUGAAUUUGUCAAAUCCCUUUGAAAGCCACCUUAUGUCCAUGACCGGCACCUGGCAGGGAGCUAGUGUGAUGUAGUGGUUUAAGUGUUGAACUGUGACCUAGGACACCAGGGUUCAAAUUCAGCUAUGAAGCUCAGUCAGUGAUCUUGGGCCAGUCGUUCACUCUCAGCCUAGCCUACCUCACAGGCUGUUGUGAGGAUAAAAUAAAAAGGGAGGAGAACCAUGUGUUUCACGUCACCUUGAGUUCCUUGGCGGAAAGAUGGUAAUUGUGAUAAUAAUAAUGUCGCUGGGUGUGGAGGACUCAUAACAACAACAACAGCAACAACAACAACAACAACAACACCCUGCCCAUCUGGCUGGGUUGUCCCAGCCACUCCAACACAUAUAAAAACACAACAGAACAUCAAACAUUAAAAACCUCCUGACUGAUAGAGGGCUGCCUUCAGAUGUCUUCUAAAAGUUGCGUAGUUCUUUAUCUCCUUGACAUCUGAUGGGAGAGCGUUCCACAGGGAGGGUGCCACCACCAAGAAGGCCCUCUGCCUGGUUCCCUGUAACUUCUUGCAGUGAACUUAACUUCAUGAGUUAAGCCAAAGACAUCACUUGAGAAACAUGUUUGAACGAGGGAUUUGAAGCGCUGGUGGAGAGCUCUCUCCUCUACCAUCUCCCCAAAUGAGUUCUCUUAACCCAUGCUGCCAGCCCACUGGAUUUCCAAUGUAAGAGUCCACUAACACCACACACACACACACACACACACACACACACACCCCUUUGGUCAGAUCCAAUUUCCUAGCUCCAAAUGUCAGUCCGUGUGUCAAGACUGCAAAACUGGCUUGCAGGCAGACGUCUAUCUGGGAGGACAGCCCAGCUGAGUUGUGGCAGGAUCAGGUGUGGCCAAACUGUCAGGGAAGAUUAGGUUGCUAUUCCUAGCGGGAGCACAGCUGCACAGCAACAGGGCUGGCCAUUGGCGGAUCGUCCAUGCCGGCUGAAUACAAACAAGCAGCAAUUUGUCAUCAUCUCUCUGCAAAACGCAAGCUAAGGGUGUGUGGGUAAAGAAGGGAUGCUUCACACACUACGUUGCAACAAACUGAGUUUGCCGGGUAGUGGACACUCAGCGGUGAGCCCCAGCCAGUCUGCUUGUGCAAGUCCAGAAUCAGCAAAUACGUGUGGGUCGCAUUCAUGGUUCAUUUGUGGCACACACAAAAACAUGCACUUAUAGGGAAGUAGCCAGGUUAGUCGUGAAGUAAUCCUAAAGCCAGCAUGAGCUGGGGAAGGAUCUGGUCCAGGUAGAAGUCUCUUUAGGACAGAACUCGUUUUCACAAGCGGCACCAAGGGCGUGGGGGAAAUUUUGCUGCUGCUGCUGGAAGAUCUGAGGCUCCCAGUCAGAACACUGGAAGAAAGUGUUUGUGGGGAGUCCUUAGCCCCAGGGCUAUUAUGUUUGUCGGCAGGGAGGUGGGCAGGUGGGGAUGGGGAGCCUUUGGGGGCCUCUGGUCUUCCAGGUACCUGCUGCUAGUCUGCAGGCUCUCUGGGAGAAGUUUGACCCUGAAUGCUGAAGCCUGGUUCCUGAAUGACAGAGAACCUUGUCGUGCUUUCCUCAGAAUAGAUUCUGUGCGGGCGGCAGGUGUUGCUUGUCUGCAGAAGGCCAACACUAACAAAUGCUCCACUUUUAAGGCAGCCGUUCUCAAGCCUUUUCUUUUACUAAGGGUGACACGUAGCUGGCAGAAUCCUGCCUUUGUUCUCGCAGACAGAUCCCACUUUCCCUUGGCUGCCGGCAGAGGCAAGAGCAGUCUGUGCUUGGGCCAGAGAAUGAAAUCUGAUCUCAUUGGCUGCACCGCUCUCUCCAGUGGUCUCUCAGCGAUGUACUGCUAAGCCAAAACGCAAGGAGGCAACCCCCUUCUCUUGUAAUGAGCCCAUCUGUUUGACAUGGGUGGAUUGUUACAAAGAGAAAGAGAGAGAGAGAGCAAGCAUCAGAGUGCAUCACCCAGGAGGAGGUGGCAACGAAGCAGUGGGAAUUGAGUAUGACAAAGCAUGCAUUAUUUAGAGGCGUGUGGAUCCGUGCGUGUGUGCAAAAGGGACAACUUUCAGGUGCCAACCUUUCGCACGCUUAACUUGAUGCAGUGGGACUUAGGUCUAAGUAGAUGUCCGUGGGACUGCAUUGCCAAAGGCGGACCUGCAACAAAUGGUUUCUCGCGUACACAGCUGAAAUUGCUACCACGACAUGUGGCGGCGGCUUUAAAGCGGGGUUAGUUAGACAUACUCAUGCGGGACAGAUGGAACCUCAGUGUUCAGAAGCAACGUAUCUCUGAACACCACUUGCUUGGGAUGGGGUGCAAAGAGUGAGGAACAGCUGUUUAUUUCCAGCAAACAGGUUGCUCAGCUGGAUGGACUUUUGGUCUGAUUCAGCUGUACUCUUCUUAUAGAGCUGGACAACGGCUGUUAACGGCUUCACUCAACAGUCUCCUGGGGAUGGAAUCUUAGAAUUGUAGAGCUGUGGGAGGGACCCCAAGGGUCAUCUAGUCCAACCCCCUUCCAAUCUCCCCUGGAUUUCUACUCCUGAUUUAUUUAUUGGGCUGGACGGUGCAUGGGGACACCAUAGGGGAUACAGCAAUUUAUUUCCAAACUCUUUCCAUUUCCACUCUGCUCUUCCUCUCUUUCCCUCCAAGUUUCAAUUAAGUUAUGCUGCCAUUUCAGUGCUCAACAUCGCUUUACAUAUUUUGGGUGUGACCUGCCAGCCAGCUAGAUGGUGUCGGCUUUUCAAUGCAUGGUGUGGCCACUGCCAUUUCAUCCAGAGCUAGUCGCCCACAGCUUUCAGCCGUGUGGUGGAAAUCACCAGAUUUGAAAUAUGACUUCUAAAGUCAAGGUGCCAUUUCAAAUUUCAGUUUGGGCAAGGCGCAAAGAUUUCAGCGGGGAUGAGUAAAAUGCUUCACCAGUGUCCAAAGGCCUGUUCUUGGGUCUGUUCAAGAUUAAACUGCAAAACGUACUUAUAAAAGCUGUGUAUUUUAGAAGCAUUUACUGUGGUUCUUUGUUUAAGAGAUUAAUACUUCGCCCGUCAGUCAAAUGGCCAGAGCUGCUUGCAAAACAGCACAACACAAUAAAACACAUUAGGGACAUACAAAAACAAUAAAAGGAAUGCAUAACAACCUGUACCAAAAGCUGUGCCAAUGUUACAAACGAAAUCAAGCAAGGGAUUUUCUGCUUUGCAAUAUAUACCUAAUAGAGCAGCCCAUUUAAUGGUGAAUUACAAUUGCCACUACUUAUCUUUACAAGCCAGUGUGGCGAUGUGACAGGCGGAGAAUUGGACUUGGACCAAGGAGAUGUGGCUUCAUGCUCCUGCUUGGUUCAUGAAGUUUAUGGGGCACAGCCUUCCCCAAGCUGGUGCCCUCCAAAUGUUUUGAACUGUGGCUCCCAUCAGGCCACGCCAGCAAAGUCAUACGAUGCUGAGCUAGAUGGGAGCUGCAGUCCAUAACACCUGCAGGCCACCAGGUUUGUGAAGGCUGCCAUAGGUGGAUCUUGGUCCAAUCGCUACCCCAUGGAUGUUUCCUUUCACUACUUGGGGGAAGGGUGGGGUGCAAAUGUGACUCAGGAUGAGACUUGCCACCACUAGGCUUAUCCCAAGCCACAGAGGGGUUCUCUAUUCUGAGAAUCAUUGGCAUCGUUCCUAACACAAUGCUGAAUCCCCUUCUCUAGGGCUUCUUCGCCUGUUGCCCCAUAGCAAAAGAACUUGGUGUCAGCCAUGAUGCAAAUACGAGCUCUAAGCGUGCAUAAUGCAGUUUCAGAACUCAGGCAGCAGCUAAAGCCAAGAGCUUGCAAUCUCCUAAUGACAAUUGGCUGGCUUUCUGGCAGGGACGAGUCUCCGCGAAGCCACAAUUUCUCACUUUUAUUGCUUUUGUGCAUUUAGCAGAUGCCUCUCAUGAACCAAGUGCCCCUGUUUAAUUACAUUAACGUAAUCUAGGACUUCAUGCAGCAGAGUUGCCAGUUCAUCAAAAGUUCUGCUGACUCGUUUCCACAGAAAUAGCCAUCCUCCCUCCACCGCCACUUCAGGCUGCCAAAUAUUCAGAGGCCGCUUCUGCGGCAAAUAAUCCAUCACAGGGUAUCCUGGCAAGAGAAGGAUGUCAAUGGAAGAAUGGGGCAAGGAAGAAUGGGGCAAAGUAUGUGUGUGAGAGAGACAUGGAGAGAGAGAGAGAGAGAGAGAGAGAGAGAGAGAAAGAAAGAAAGAAAGAAAGAAAGAAAGAAAGAAAGAAAGAAAACAAUUUACUUUAUUUAUUUAUUAUUGAAUUUAUAUCCCACCUUUCCUCCUAAGGAGCUCAAGACUGCGGACACUGAUCUCAUCUCCGUAUUAUAUUCACAACAACUUUGUGAACUUUGGAUUAGGCUGUGAGCUGGUGACUGGCCCAGGAUUACCCAGUCACCUUCAUGAACAAACAGGGACUUGAACCCUGGUCUCUCAAGAUUAAAAUUUGUAAGCCCCUCACACAUUUGCCUAAAAUAAAAUAAAAUAAAAUAAAAUAAAUUGUCCUGUUUUUUCCCCAUUUGGGCCAGCAAAGUGAAGUGAAUAAAUAUAUGUUUUUGGAGGCCAGAAGGCCGGAUUUAAAUUUCUGCUCAGUCAUAAAGUGGAUAAAUGUGGUUAAGAUUUGCAAAGUACUUUCUUCACUGAAAGCUGCUACUGAAAUGAUAAACCACAGACUCACCAAGUUGGGAAAGUGCAUCUCACCCGACACUCUGCUGCAACAAAACAGCACCCAUGCAAUCCAGGACAAAGCAAAUCGCUGUUGAGAGAGUGAAUGCGCGGUGCGUCAUGGUACAAGCAAUGCAGUUCUACACGACUACAGGGUGAUCAAAUCCUACAGGAGAAAGGGAGAGGCAAAUGGUCACCUUUCCAUGGGACUGGUUGGGAAAUGUCCUUCCUAUCUCUCUACUACCCCAGUUAGACAGCAACCCACCCACUCAAUAAAUCCCUGGGUAGCAACUAAAUUCUAAAAGGGACCACCGGAUGGCCACUUUCCCCAAAUCCGAACAUUUGUUCCCCAUUCCCUUCUAUGUCCAGGCCUGAUUUCAGAGCCCUCCAUGACCUCACUGCAACUUACCUUUCUUUUUCCUUCUUUCUUUUAUAUAAUUUUUAUUAAAUUUUCUGUUUUACAAUUUAGAAUACUCAUUUAAACAUAAUUAAAUUAUCAGUGACUUCCCUUCUUCUCUUUCCAUGGUUCAUUUUACAUAUCCCAAAUCCCUGCAUAUUUUACAUAAACCAAACCAUUCAGUAUUCCAUUAUUACAUCCAUCAAAACUUAUUUACACUUUUGAAAUUAUCUUAAUGCUGCCAACAUUUUCAAGUGUACACAAUUCAAUAAACAUUUCCCAAUCUUCUCUAAACGUUAUGUUCUUCUUAUUCUUAUUCUAGAUGUUAAGUCUGCAAGCUGCGCACAUUCCAUCAGCUUAAGUUGCCAUUGUUCUUUAGUUGGGACCUCGCUUGUUUUCCAUUUUGAGGCUAACAAAACACGGGUCGCAGUAGUGGCAUUGAAGCAAUGAUUCUUCAACAUCAACUUCGUUGGACUGGUCAUGUUGUUCGGAUGCCUGAUGAUCAUCUUCCAAAGCAACUACUCUAUUCUGAACUUAAAAAUGAAAAGUGUAAUGCUGGUGGUCAACAAAAGAGGUUUAAAGACCCACUCAAGGCAAAUCUUUAAAAAUGUAGUAUAAACACCAACAAUUGGGAAACAUUGGCCUGCAAGCGCUCCAACUGGAGAACAGCCUUUACCAAAGGUGUCCUGGGCUUUGAAGACACUCGAACUCAGGACGCAAGGCAGAAAUGUGCUAAGAGGAAGGCACACUUAGCAAAUCCAUGCUGAGAUCAACUCCCGCCUGGAAACUAAUAUCCCCACUGAGGAAGGACGUGUGGAUCCAGAAUUGGCCUCCACAGUCACUUAUGGACUCAUUGUUAAAACCGUUAUGGAAGACAAUCUUACCCGGCUACGAGUGAUCGCCAAAGAAGAAAUACAUAAAUAACCAACUUACCUUUCUGCCCUUGAUUCUUCCAAAGCUCCCAGGCAGUUCCUCUAGUUUUGUUCCUGCAGUUCUGCCCCCUUCAACUGGUCUCUUACAUGUUGUAAACAAAAUCUGCUCCUUUUCCCUUAUGGGGUAUCCAAGAGCCCCUAUAGAGUCCUUAAGCGGGUUCCCUAUUGGUAGGAGGAAAUAACAGAGGCCAACCAGAGAACACUGAGAAGCAAAGCAACUUGUAAGCCUGAUCUUUAUUACACUGUUGCAACAGGGUCCUCACUCACCACACGAAGGAGGGAGAAGGAACCCUGAACAUUGGUGUGCAAGCCCUCAUACAGUGGUACCUCGGGUUAAGAACUUAAUUCGUUCCGGAGGUCUGUUCUUAACCUGAAACUGUUCUUAACCUGAAGCACCACUUUAGCUAAUCGGGCCUCCUGCUGCCGCUGCGCCACCGCUGCACGAUUUCUGUUCUCAUCCUGAAGCAAAGUUCUUAACCUGAGGUAGUAUUUCUGGGUUAGAGGAGUUUGUAACCUGAAGCGUCUGUAACCUGAAGCAUAUGUAACCUGAGGUACCACUGUAUACCGUACUUUUGAAAUUGCCACCCUGUAGCUCAAGGCCACCCUCCAAUACAUACAUGCAUCACAGAAGGAGGCGGUCUACAGCAGAAAUCCUGUCUGCCAGGAUACCUGACAAUGGCCAGUGAUUGCUUUACCUGGGCAGCCUGGCCAUUCUUUUGUGAUGGUAAAUACUUGGUUCCUGAAUCCAGGUCACAGGCUCACCCUAUUCAUACACAGAUACACCCUUAAGACAGGAUUUGUGAGCAAAGAGACAAUGGGGAGGUUUUCCCAUUUGUUCUUGCAGAGAAACAUUUGAGGUCAAUUUGGGAGAGUCAGAAUGGUUUCAGGACUGUUUUCCUGCACUGUUUCAGACAUGUG
Podarcis lilfordi (Lilford's wall lizard) is the source of this 20051-nucleotide non-coding RNA. NCBI's taxonomy places the organism in Eukaryota, Metazoa, Chordata, Lepidosauria, Squamata, Lacertidae. The record is from the annotation of a GenBank genome assembly.